RNAcentral lists this ribosomal RNA (545 nucleotides) under uncultured bacterium. RNAcentral's name for it is "partial 16S ribosomal RNA". It matches the Rfam family "Bacterial small subunit ribosomal RNA", at positions 355 to 914 of the family's 1533-position model. The record is from RNAcentral.
UGGGGAAUAUUGCACAAUGGGCGAAAGCCUGAUGCAGCAACGCCGCGUGAGUGAUGAAGGUCUUCGGAUUGUAAAGCUCUGUCUUUUGGGACGAUAAUGACGGUACCAAAGGAGGAAGCCACGGCUAACUACGUGCCAGCAGCCGCGGUAAUACGUAGGUGGCGAGCGUUGUCCGGAUUUACUGGGCGUAAAGGGUGCGUAGGCGGAUGUUUAAGUGAGAUGUGAAAUACCCGGGCCUAACUUGGGUGCUGCAUUUCAAACUGGAUAUCUAGAGUGCAGGAGAGGAGAAUGGAAUUCCUAGUGUAGCGGUGAAAUGCGUAGAGAUUAGGAAGAACACCAGUGGCGAAGGCGAUUCUCUGGACUGUAACUGACGCUGAGGCACGAAAGCGUGGGUAGCAAACAGGAUUAGAUACCCUGGUAGUCCACGCCGUAAACGAUGAGUACUAGGUGUAGGAGGUAUCGACCCCUUCUGUGCCGCAGUAAACACAUUAAGUACUCCGCCUGGGAAGUACGAUCGCAAGAUUAAAACUCUAAAGUGAAUUGAC